Molecule: ribosomal RNA, 483 nt
Filed under: uncultured bacterium
Lineage: Bacteria
Description: bacterial SSU rRNA
Rfam family: Bacterial small subunit ribosomal RNA
Source: RNAcentral
AACUAACGCUGGCGGCGUGCCUAACACAUGCAAGUCGUACGAGAAAGUCGGCUUCGGCUGGUGAGUAAAGUGGCGCACGGGUGAGUAACGCGUGGAUAAUCUGCCCUUAAGUGUGGAAUAACGUACCGAAAGGUGCGCUAAUACCGCAUAAUGCCUGGCAACACAAGUUGUCCGGCCAAAGAAGGCCUCUGUUUACAAGCUUUCGCUUCAGGAUGAGUCCGCGUACCAUUAGCUUGUUGGUGGGGUAAUGGCCUACCAAGGCUGCGAUGGUUAGCUGGUCUGAGAGGAUGAUCAGCCACACUGGAACUGAGACACGGUCCAGACUCCUACGGGAGGCAGCAGUGAGGAAUAUUGCGCAAUGGGGGCAACCCUGACGCAGCAACGCCGCGUGAGUGAGGAAGGUUUUCGGACUGUAAAGCUCUGUCGAGCGGGAAGAAGUGUACCAUGGCUAAUAUCCAUGAUAUUUGACGGUACCGCUAGAGG